CUCUGGGGAGACUGCCGGUGAUAAACCGGAGGAAGGCGGGGAUGACGUCAAGUCCUCAUGGCCCUUACAUCCCGGGCUACACACGUGCUACAAUGGCAGGUACAGAGGGCUGCGAAGCCGCGAGGUGGAGCGAAUCCCAGAAAACCUGUCUCAGUCCGGAUUGAAGUCUGCAACUCGAUUUCAUGAAGGCGGAAUCGCUAGUAACCGCGAAUCAGCAGGUCGCGGUGAAUACGUUCCCGGGCCUU
RNAcentral lists this ribosomal RNA (245 nucleotides) under uncultured Latescibacterota bacterium. RNAcentral describes it as "uncultured Latescibacteria bacterium partial 16S ribosomal RNA". It matches the Rfam family "Bacterial small subunit ribosomal RNA", at positions 1138 to 1382 of the family's 1533-position model. The record is from RNAcentral. Lineage: Bacteria; Pseudomonadati; Candidatus Latescibacterota.